This 711-nucleotide ribosomal RNA is filed under the name Triticum aestivum (bread wheat). RNAcentral describes it as "partial small subunit ribosomal RNA". Lineage: Eukaryota; Viridiplantae; Streptophyta; Magnoliopsida; Poales; Poaceae. The record is from RNAcentral.
AUGGGAUCCAUCCCCAAUACCUUUGUAAAUUUGACCAAUAUCACUACCUUGUCCCUAUAUGACAACCAACUCUCUGGACAUGUUCCUCGAGAACUAGGUUUCUUGGUGAAUUUUGAACAUUUGUUGCUUCAAAACAACCAACUCACAGGUUCCAUCCCCGAUACGUUUGGAAAUUUGAACAAGCUCACUACCUUGUACCUUUUCCGUAACCAAAUCUCCGGAGAUGUUCCUAAAGAAUUAGGAUCCUUGGUGAGUUUAAGUUUAGAAGACAUGCAACUUUACAAAAACAAACUCUUGGGUUCCAUCCCCAAUACCUUUGGAAAUUUGACCAAGCUCACUACGUUGUACCUAUAUGAUAACCAACUUUCCGGGCAUGUUCCCCGAGAACUAGGGUCCUUGGUGAAUCUAGAAGACUUGGAACUUCAUAGAAACAAACUCUUUGGUUCCAUCCCCAAUGCCUUGGGAAACUUGACAAAGCUUACUACAUUGAACCUAGGGGGAAACCAACUUUCAGGGGGCAUUCCUCGAGAACUAGGUUACUUGGUGAAUCUAGUAGACUUGGAACUUGACAAAAACAAACUCAUGGGUUGCAUCCCCAAUACCUUUGGAAAUAUGACAAAGCUCAAUACCUUAUUCCUUAAUGAUAACCAAUUCUCCGGACAUGUUCCACAAGAAAUUGGCACCUUAAUGAAUCUCAACUAUAUACAUUAA